RNAcentral lists this unclassified non-coding RNA (253 nucleotides) under plant metagenome. Its description in RNAcentral is "partial contains small subunit ribosomal RNA, internal transcribed spacer 1, and 5.8S ribosomal RNA". The record is from RNAcentral.
UUUCCGUAGGUGAACCUGCGGAAGGAUCAUUAACGAGUCAGGGUCUUCCAGGCCCGACCUCCCAACCCUAUGUUUAUUGAACCUCUGUUGCUUCGGCGGACCCGCCUCACGGCCGCCGGAGGACCGCUGCAAGGCGUCCUCUGGCCAGCGUCCGCCGAUGGCCAACCACUUAAACUCUGAAUGAAUCGUGUCAUAUGUCUAAGUCUAUGAUUAAAUUAAAGCAAAACUUUCAACAACGGAUCUCUUGGUUCUG